UACCAGCACCCCGAGUGGUCGGGACGAUUAUUGGGCCUAAAGCAUCCGUAGCCGGUUCUACAAGUCUUCCGUUAAAUCCACCUGCUUAACAGAUGGGCUGCGGAAGAUACUAUGGAGCUAGGAGGCGGGAGAGGCAAGCGGUACUCGAUGGGUAGGGGUAAAAUCCGUUGAUCCAUUGAAGACCACCAGUGGCGAAGGCGGCUCACUGGCCCAUUACUGACGCUGAGGCACGAAAGCGUGGGGAGCAAACAGG
Molecule: ribosomal RNA, 253 nt
Filed under: uncultured bacterium
Lineage: Bacteria
Description: partial 16S ribosomal RNA
Rfam family: Archaeal small subunit ribosomal RNA
Source: RNAcentral